GUCCAAGAUAAGGUUCAGGGAAUCUGGAAACACAUAAAGCCACGCCUGAUGUUGUAGUCAGCAACAAGCUGCAGCCAAGGUUUGUCUUUUAAGGAGCAGGUUUGUCAGCAGGUGUGAGCCAUUAGCGUUUUGGCCUUAAGUGGACAGGCCUGCCUCUCUUCUGCCUGACCUUCUGCUGUCUACGUUCUGCAGGAAUGCAGAAGCAUUUGUAAAGCGCUGGCUGGAGGUGUUGGGGAGAAGAGAAAUAUGAAUGUUGUGCUUCACAGUUGAAAUAAUACACGUGGCUGUCUAAAAGGGGCCCACCUGUAAGUUCAGGGUCUUAAAUUACCUGUCUGCACUGCUGGGAAGGGAGAACGGCAGCAGCAAGGAAGAGCAGGAUGGACGUGUGCACCAAGACAGAGGAGCAAGGCUGGGUUGAAAAGUUGGCAACCCAUUCCUGAUCAUGAGACUUUUGGGCCGAGAUGUUUGGAAAGGAGAGCAAAAUGUCAAGGUGAAGACAUGGGUUGUCUCCAAUCUAGUUAUGUGCCGAAGAGGGUCAUUCCUAUAGUGGAGGUUGUGAAGUGUGGAAGACGGAGGCUCACAGUUUCAGGCUUCAUUAUUCUAUAUGAAUUCAAAGUAAGUGACUAUCUGGAAGUGUCCUCUUGCGCCAUCAACCUGUUUACUGCAGCCCUGAGUGUAUAUUGUCCUACAGGGACUCUGACCUUUGCACUGUUCCACCUCAAAUUCCUGUCAUUCCAGAGGUACAGGAACGCAACAGCAUUCAAUAAACAGCUUCUCCGGAAGGAAAACAAGACCGCAGAAAGUAUCUGGACGCUAGAGGGCCCAGUGAAUUGGCACCUCCAGGCUGUCAGUAUUUUGCAUGGGGGAUUCAUCACUUAAGUGGAUGAAGGGGGUCUGUUGCAACAAAUGCACUUUUUGGAAAAAAGAAACCUGAGGUUUUGUAGUUAGGAAAAUGAUGGGGAGAGAUGCACCCAAAAUGGGGGAUAAUGAUCGAUCGUUGGGAAGACAUAUAACCUUUGCACACACACAGAGAGAUCAGGACGACUGCUCAGUGAAAAGCAGGAACCGUACAACCUCUGCACAAGCUUUGUGCAAGCAAAAUCAAAAAGAACACUCUGCCACCUGGCAGAACGAAUCCACUUAAAAAACACAGACUUUUUUGCGGUUAAGAAAGUGACGAGGAAGUGCAUUGAGUAAUGUGGAAUGACCAAAUGAUAACGGGAAGGUGUAUAAACGCCGCAUAAGCAAAUCAAGGUUAAUGUUCAUUGCCAUGCAACCUCCCCACAAAUAAAUCAGAACAAAUGCUCCAUGAAGACAGGACAUAACCUACCUGCCGGCUCGGUGGAAGCAAAUCAGUAUGAAUGCUCAAUAAACAGGUCAUCUGGAAAGGCUCAAUGAUACUUCAGUUAUACUGGGGUAGGGUGGGCUUCUGUCCAUUUUGGUUCUCCCAGUUUCUCAUUUUUCCAAUCUUAAAUUCAAUUUUCCACAUUUCUGCAGCAAUUUGUGAUUUAUUUAUUUUUAAAUCCUC
Long non-coding RNA from Rhineura floridana, 1528 nucleotides. RefSeq lists it as uncharacterized. NCBI's taxonomy places the organism in Eukaryota, Metazoa, Chordata, Lepidosauria, Squamata, Rhineuridae. The transcript is spliced from 3 exons. The record is from RefSeq and is a predicted model, not a curated record.